Molecule: ribosomal RNA, 508 nt
Filed under: uncultured bacterium
Lineage: Bacteria
Description: partial 16S ribosomal RNA
Rfam family: Bacterial small subunit ribosomal RNA
Source: RNAcentral
GACGAACGCUGGCGGCGCGCUUAACACAUGCAAGUCGAGCGAGAACCAGGGCUUCGGCCCUGGGGACAGCGGCGAACGGGUGAGUAACACGUGGAUAACCUGCCCUCGGCACCGGGAUAGCCCGGGGAAACCCGGAUUAAUACCGGAUGGCCCUUCCGGCUCACGAGCCGGUCGGAAAAGGUAGCUUCGGCCUCCGGCCGAGGAUGGGUCCGCGGCGGAUUAGCUUGUUGGUGGGGUAACGGCCCACCAAGGCUCCGAUCCGUAGCUGGUCUGAGAGGGCGAGCAGCCACACGGGGACUGAGACACGGCCCAGACUCCUACGGGAGGCAGCAGUGGGGAAGCUUGCGCAAUGGGCGAAAGCCUGACGCAGCGACGCCGCGUGAGGGAGGAAGGCCUUCGGGUUGUAAACCUCUUUCAGGAGGGACGAAGCUACUCGGGUGAAUAGCCCAGAGGGUGACGGUACCUCCAGAAGAAGCCCCGGCUAACUACGUGCCAGCCGCCGCCGUAA